Molecule: unclassified non-coding RNA, 400 nt
Filed under: soil metagenome
Description: partial contains 5.8S ribosomal RNA, internal transcribed spacer 2, and large subunit ribosomal RNA
Rfam family: 5.8S ribosomal RNA (bases 1-122)
Source: RNAcentral
GAUGAAGAACGUAGCGAAAUGCGAUACUUGGUGUGAAUUGCAGAAUCCCGUGAACCAUCGAGUCUUUGAACGCAAGUUGCGCCUCAAGCCAUUAGGUUGAGCGCACGUCUGCCUGGGCGUCACAUAUCGUUGCCUGAUGCCAGUUUCCUCGUGAUGGGUGACUGUGCAGGGCGAAUGAUGGCUUCCCGUGAGCAUUGUUGCCUCAUGGUUGGUUGAAAAUUGAGUCCUUGGUAGGGAGCGCCGUGAUAGAUGGUGGUUGAGUGACGAACGAGACCCAAUCAUGUGAGACCCCUACCGAAUUUGGCCUUCAUGACCCACAUGCGUCUUUGGAACGCUCAUGACGAGACCUCAGGUCAGGCGGGGCUACCCGCUGAGUUUAAGCAUAUCAAUAAGCGGAGGA